AUGUGCAUUGCCGUCACCUUCACCUAUAUUGUAAAAUGUUUUCCAUUUUUUGUUAAAGGUAUAGAGAAGACAAAGGAAAAUAAACUAGGUGAUAAUGAUGCACAUCUGGAAAAUGAAAAGGCAAGCUGUAAGGAGAUUAAUGAUUCUGCAAUUGUAUCAUUAAACACAUCUGCCAGCUCUGAGAAAAGUACCACUGGUCAAACAAUCAGGGCAGUGCAUGUCAACAAAAUGUUUUGCAGUCAAGAGACCAAAGAAGUGGGCUCUCCAUUGCCACUGUCUGCUUUGAGUGCUUUUGUAAGUUACCAGGAUUUAGGCUGGCCAAAAUGGGUACAUAGAAACUUUUCAGUAGAAGCAAAAAAACUGAAGGAUGGUGAAAAGAAUGUAGCUACUUCCCUUAAAAGAAAGCAGGAUCUGUGUACACAUUGUUCAGAGAAAACAAGAAAAUUACUUGUAAAGAACUGCACUCCUUCAUAUGAAGGAAGAUAUAACUGGACUUCUGGACAAGCAGAAUCAUCUGAAAAUUGUCCUCGUGAUAUCAGAAGUUUGGGAUAUGAAGAAAGAAGAGAAUUGCUUGCAACUAUAGAACAGGCAGUGGCUUUGAUAACUACUAUGGUGUUUCAAGAUGGUUCUUCACAGCUCAACUCAGAGCAGGUUAGUGAGUCACCUGUUUUGGUUAGAAUUAGUUUUGCAGAGCCAUUUACAGAAAACCAUUAGGAGUCUAGAAUCUGGAACAAUUUUGUAUGUUCUUGUUUACCAAAAUAUAAAUGUAAAAGGAGGUAAACCUUAAUACUUCUGACUACAUUUUCUUACCAAGUAAAACUUGAAGAAAAUGGAACCAUUUGGGCUAAGUAGUCAUUUGUGUACUUAAAGUGAGAAUGUUUGUUAGCAUCUUUCUGCUUUGUGACAUGUCUGUCACAGUGGAUUUUUGUUGCAAAGUUGAAGCUUUUGUAUGCUACUCUACAAUGUGCAUGCAGUAACUCCAGUGUACUUAAUAUGUUUCAUAUCCUAAAACAUAUGUGGAAUUUUUUAUAUAGGAUUGUAUAAAAUUUGUCAGAGGAAACACUACUGUAAUUGUACUUAACAGGUCUUAACUUCAUCAGUAAAAGGAAUUGUUGUCUUAGUGAAGAGCCAGACAAAUUGCCUUUGCUCUCCCAGUUACCCUUCAACUGCCUCUACUUGGGAUGAUUCUAAUCAGAAUGAUAGAUUAAUUUAUUUAAAAACUGCAUGGUCAUCUGUUUGGAAACAAGAAGAACAGGCUCAUAAGAAAUAUGCUGGGUGAGAGUAUGUAGGAAAACAUAAGUUUUGCUUUAUGUAUGCUGUUAGCAACUGUGAUGUUGGUUAUGUGGUUUCUUGCAGACUGGCACAGGUUUAAUCUCCCUUUGCUUCAAGUCCAGGUUAGCAGCAUUAGUUAUGUGCCAAGCCUGGGCUAAUAUAAGCCAAACUGAAUAAACUGUUGGAGUGUCAAAGAUUUAUUUUUAAG
Molecule: long non-coding RNA, 1480 nt
Organism: Dromaius novaehollandiae (emu)
Lineage: Eukaryota; Metazoa; Chordata; Aves; Casuariiformes; Dromaiidae
Source: Ensembl